UUCCUUCCCCAAUCUUUUCCCUUCCCUCUAAUUCACUCAAGGAUUACCACCCAUAGGGAAUCUUUUGCUGAAGGCCUCUCUCAUCUGUCUCUGAACCCAGUAAGCUCCCUUUGCUUGUCUUCAUCCCAUGAGCUUCUGGAGAGAAGGGAACGUGGCUUUUUUGUAAACUCUCCCCAAGUGCGUAGAAGUUGCUGCAUAAACAUAUAUUAAUAACACUUUAGUGGGAGGCUUCCAUAGGGAGGAAGUUCCACUGGGGUAAAAACAUGGGACUUGAGGGAGAUUUUGUUAGUUUCAAUGACAUUGGUUAUCCCACUUUUUAUCCUUAGAAUUGCCCAGCCACAGGUGAGUCUGGUUUGCCUCUGAUCUGGUUUGUAGGUCACACUUGAAGUUCUGGGAUCUCUUUAAUGGGAGGGCUCAGGGUUGCCUUCAGGGAAGAAAGGAGCCUCCAGACAGUUGUAGGGCUUGGGAACCUGGAGUCAAGCAUUCUCUCAUCCCACGUUGGUCCCAAGAAAAACUCCUGAAGUCAGCCCUGCCAGCAAGGGAUGGCCGAGAGCUGCUCAGUGUGGAGUUUCUGGAGUAAUCAGGAUUACACAGGCAGCUGGGAGAUCAAAUUGGGGUGUGUGUUUCUGCUCUGCUGUGUGUGUUGACUGCUAAGUCCCUGAGCAGCCACCCUGGAUCCAGGGAAAGGGCCUCCUCUUGCUAGUUGCGGGUCAAGGCAAUGAGAAAAAUCCUGGAAACUGAGUCUAGGAGUCCACGUGUCCAGCAAUUCCAGGAGCCAGUGGCCAGCAGCUCAACUUUGAAUUUCAGGAGGUCUGUUUCCCAGAUGUCCCUGGCCCUGGCCCCACCCACCAGGGAGCCUCGGAUACCCCAGCUCCCACAACCCCCCUUCCCUACUGAGACACUGUGGUCUUCAGCCAACACCCUCACUGCCUGUCUCCUCCUCCUACUCUGGACCUGGGCCAGUCCCUGCCCCUUUCCAGGCAUGGCACCUCCUUUCAGGCCUCCCCCAUCUUCACCUGGCCCCAUGCCAGCCAGUUAG
This 1039-nucleotide long non-coding RNA is filed under the name Bos grunniens (domestic yak). RNAcentral describes it as "lncRNA (ENSBGRG00000007173.1)". Lineage: Eukaryota; Metazoa; Chordata; Mammalia; Artiodactyla; Bovidae. The record is from RNAcentral.